GACAGAGGGUGCAAACGUUGUUCGGAAUUACUGGGCGUAAAGCGUGUGUAGGCGGCUUCGUAAGUCGGAUGUGAAAGCCCCGGGCUCAACCCGGGAAGUGCACUCGAUACUGCGAAGCUUGAGUACUGGAGAGGUUGGUGGAAUUCUCGGUGUAGAGGUGAAAUUCGUAGAUAUCGAGAGGAACACCGGUGGCGAAGGCGGCCUGCUGGGCAGUUUCUGACACUGAGGCGCGACAGCGUGGGGAGCAAACAGG
RNAcentral lists this ribosomal RNA (253 nucleotides) under uncultured bacterium. RNAcentral's name for it is "partial 16S ribosomal RNA". It matches the Rfam family "Bacterial small subunit ribosomal RNA", at positions 524 to 776 of the family's 1533-position model. The record is from RNAcentral.